This 418-nucleotide ribosomal RNA is filed under the name uncultured bacterium. RNAcentral describes it as "bacterial SSU rRNA". It matches the Rfam family "Bacterial small subunit ribosomal RNA", at positions 356 to 772 of the family's 1533-position model. The record is from RNAcentral.
AGGGAAUAUUGGUCAAUGGGUGAGAGCCUGAACCAGCCAUGCCGCGUGCAGGAAGACGGCCUUCUGGGUUGUAAACUGCUUUUGCCCGGGGAUAAAAUUUCUUUGCGAAGAAAAUUGAAGGUACCUGGUGAAUAAGCCACGGCUAACUACGUGCCAGCAGCCGCGGUAAUACGUAGGUGGCAAGCGUUGUCCGGAUUUAUUGGGUUUAAAGGGUGCGUAGGCGGCCUAUUAAGUCAGUGCUGAAAUAUCCCGGCUUAACCGGGAGGGUGGCAUUGAUACUGAUGGGCUAGAGUACAGAUGAGGUAGGCGGAAUUGACGGUGUAGCGGUGAAAUGCUUAGAUAUCGUCAAGAACACCUAUAGCGAAGGCAGCUUACUAGGCUGUAACUGACGCUGAGGCACGAAAGUGUGGGGAUCAAA